This is a long non-coding RNA of Danaus plexippus (monarch butterfly), 1130 nucleotides long. RefSeq lists it as uncharacterized. The record is from RefSeq and is a predicted model, not a curated record. The transcript is spliced from 2 exons. Lineage: Eukaryota; Metazoa; Arthropoda; Insecta; Lepidoptera; Nymphalidae.
AUAUUUUUUAUCAUUUUCCUGCUUUAAAUAAACAAAUCGUAAGAUUGAAUUAUAUAUUCUAUAGGUCUAUUAAAACGCAUCCGUCAGUUUAGUUAUAAUUAAUAAUGGUGUUGCAUAAUAUUUAAUUACCUUUAAACAAUCAUCACAUUAAAUAGCGAUUAAGAGUAUGUUCAUUCUACUUUAGUGACUGCAGUAUGAACAUAGACUCUAUAAUCUCAUAGCCGUCUGCUAUAUUGCCAGUGUGCUAUACAGACGCUCACACGUGCCGGAUCUUUUCAAUGUGUUCACUUGCAGUUGGAUGUGGCACAGAAGUUAUGUUUAUUUAGAGACAAUAUAGUGCAUGUAUUAGUUGGCUAAGACACAAACACACGGCCCGGACAGACCUUUUACAUAGCCACGAUUAGAUUGUUUUAUCGCGUUGACACUCCAAAGGACGUCGAAAUUUUGACAUAUUUCUUUUUUUUUUUUUUAAUACAACCUUACAGAUAAGGUAUAAGAUAAACGACGGCCAGCAGUUGCACGUGUCAGCGUGGAGGCAGCCACUACACUCGGUCGAGGACAGAGGGUGGUUAGCAACAGGGUGGAGAGUCGCAAAGUGCAAGCUCGCUAAUACACAUAAGUCUAUUCCGUAAGAAUGACCUUCUUUCUACAUAUUUACUUCAAGUCAACGCGACAAGAUAGGUUGUUUUGGUGCCAUCCCGCUCUAGCUGUAUAAGGAAUGAGGAAGACGCUGUUAUCAUAGAUGCGUUGAAUACUGCAUGGCGUGACGGACCGUGCCCUGCUGUGGUCUUUGUGUGCCGCAAUCCACAAUGACACCUAGCCGACAAUUAUAAAAGUUAAUUAUGCAACAUCUCUCUCAGCGAAAAUGAGGAAGUCCACUGAACAGUCAUGCAAUAUAUAACUUCCUAUAACUAACAUUGAGAACUCUACAGAAACUAGUUAGAAAUGUAUAAUAUUGUAAUAGUGCUGUUUACGUUUGAUGUUAAAGUAUAACAAUUUAUAUAAUUCGUAUGAAUAAAAUAAUAUUUAUUAACAUUGAUGGCGUAAUGUAUUAUGAGAUAGUAAAAAAUAUAAUAAAAUUAUUACAAUUUAUGAAAAAGGAAAAUAAGAAUAAAUUAAUUUGAAUUAUA